UACGUAUGGUGCAAGCGUUAUCCGGAUUUACUGGGUGUAAAGGGAGCGCAGGCGGCGCGCCAAGUCUGAUGUGAAAGCCCGGGGCUCAACCCCGGGACUGCAUUGGAAACUGGUGAGCUAGAGUGUCGGAGAGGUAAGUGGAAUUCCUAGUGUAGCGGUGAAAUGCGUAGAUAUUAGGAGGAACACCAGUGGCGAAGGCGGCUUACUGGACGACAACUGACGCUGAGGCUCGAAAGCGUGGGGAGCAAACAGG
RNAcentral lists this ribosomal RNA (253 nucleotides) under uncultured Roseburia sp. Its description in RNAcentral is "partial 16S ribosomal RNA". It matches the Rfam family "Bacterial small subunit ribosomal RNA", at positions 524 to 776 of the family's 1533-position model. Lineage: Bacteria; Bacillati; Bacillota; Clostridia; Lachnospirales; Lachnospiraceae. The record is from RNAcentral.